UUCGGUGGCGAUAGCGAAAGGGGUCCACCUGUUCUCAUACCGAACACAGAAGUUAAGCCUUUCUACGCAGAUGGUACUUGGCUGGACACGGCCCGGGAGAGUAUGUAGCCGCCGAAU
Clostridium sp. CAG:349 is the source of this 117-nucleotide non-coding RNA. Lineage: Bacteria; Bacillati; Bacillota; Clostridia; Eubacteriales; Clostridiaceae. The record is from Rfam.